This 506-nucleotide ribosomal RNA is filed under the name uncultured bacterium. RNAcentral's name for it is "partial 16S ribosomal RNA". It matches the Rfam family "Bacterial small subunit ribosomal RNA", at positions 29 to 523 of the family's 1533-position model. The record is from RNAcentral.
AGUGAACGCUGGCGGUAGGCCUAACACAUGCAAGUCAAACGGCAGCACAGAGGAGCUUGCUCCUUGGGUGGCGAGUGGCGGACGGGUGAGGAAUACAUCGGAAUCUACUCUGUCGUGGGGGAUAACGUAGGGAAACUUACGCUAAUACCGCAUACGACCUACGGGUGAAAGCAGGGGACCUUCGGGCCUUGCGCGAUUGAAUGAGCCGAUGUCGGAUUAGCUAGUUGGCGGGGUAAAGGCCCACCAAGGCGACGAUCCGUAGCUGGUCUGAGAGGAUGAUCAGGCACACUGGAACUGAGACACGGUCCAGACUCCUACGGGAGGCAGCAGUGGGGAAUAUUGGACAAUGGGCGCAAGCCUGAUCCAGCCAUACCGCGUGGGUGAAGAAGGCCUUCGGGUUGUAAAGCCCUUUUGUUGGGAAAGAAAUCCAGCUGGCUAAUACCCGGUUGGGAUGACGGUACCCAAAGAAUAAGCACCGGCUAACUUCGUGCCAGCCGCCGCAGUAA